RNAcentral lists this long non-coding RNA (2897 nucleotides) under Eucalyptus grandis. RNAcentral describes it as "long non-coding RNA (EGRA_LNC006862)". Lineage: Eukaryota; Viridiplantae; Streptophyta; Magnoliopsida; Myrtales; Myrtaceae. The record is from RNAcentral.
UAAAAUCACGUUCGGUUGAUUUUAAUCAUGAAAUUUAAUUCGGUUUUGGGAAUCGAAUAUUCGGACGUGUCACAAUUCAUUUUUAGGACCGUCUCAUCGUCUAUCAAUUUAUUGCCGAGUCCGAAAUUUCAAUAAAUAAAUUAUCAGAGGAAAAAUCGAAGACUGGAAGAAUUUAGAAAGGGAAAUGGAAAGAGAAAAGAAAAUUUAGAAUAGUAUUAUUCUUUUCUUUUCUUUUUCUCUCUCUCCCUUUUCUCUCUUUUUCUCUCUCUCUUCUCUCUCCUUUCCCCUCCCUCUUCGUGCGUAGCCUCCCCACCCACCGAACACCCCUUGCCAAUUUUAAAUUGGCUUCUCUCCUUUUGACUAGUCAAAACUCCUCUCUCUUAUCUCUUCUUCUCUCUCCUCUCUCUUCUCCCUCACCCCACGUGACAGAAACCCCUCUUCUUCCUCUCUUCUUCGUGAGACCCAGCUGAACAGAAACGGAAGCAGCUCGCCUGGGAUCAGAGCCGCCGCCGUCGCCGCCCAAGCUCAGCCGCUCGCCGGUCGUCCUUCCCCGCGCGACGCCGCGCGUUCAGCCGCUCGCCCUUGCGCCCGUGCGCCGUCUGCCCCCGUCCAGCGAAGCUUCCGCCUCUGCUUCGCCGCUGUCCAACUCCUGUUCAGCCACCGUCGGACCGCCGUCCAGCUCCGAUCGGCCGUCGUGCCGCCUCCCCGGAGCUCCGCCCAUCUUUCCCGACCCUUUGCCGCCCCAUCCUUCUCUCUUUCCCUUUGUUUGGCAGCGAUCCAGCAGACCCACGGAGUGGGUAUCCAGCUAUUCGUGGGCCGUUUUGGGCCGUUUCCCGGCCCCGAACCCGAGCCGUGCUUUGGGAAGAAUCGUUCCUCGCGUCGCCGCCGUCGGAUUGAUCCGAUUUGCGCGCGAUUUGGUGAGUAAUCUCACUAAUCUUGGAUUAGUUGGCUAAUUAUGCUUAAGGUUGAUUUAGAUUUAAUUAAUUAUGUUUAGGUUGUUAGAUUAGAGUAAAUUAGCAAUUAUUAGUCAAUUGUGAUGCGAUUUAGAUAAAUUGAUUGUGCAAUUAGCAAGUAGACGUGGUCUACUAAUUAUUGGAAGUGUCUCGGGAUUUUUUCCCGACCCUUAGUGGGCUCCAAUUAGGCUUUUCGGGCCUAAGUGGAUUUUUUUUAGUAUUUAAAUAUUUAUUUUCGGAAUUAAAUUAAAUAAUGAUUUAUUUUCCGAAAAUUUAAGGGAGAUGGUUCGGAACCGGAAUAUUAUGAGGAUGACUGUGGUGAAGUCCGUUUAUGUAAUCGGGCUUUAAUUUGAGCUAAAUGGGAUUUUUAAUAUUAAUUAUUUAAUAUUAGAAAUUAAUUAAAUAAUUAUUUAUUUUCCAAAAAUUCAACUGAGAUGGUCUGGAACCGGAAAAUUAUGCUGAUGACCGUGGUGAAGUCCGUUUAUGUAAUCGGGCUUUAUUUUGAGCUAAAUUGAAUUUUUAAUAAUAAUUAUUUAAUUUUCGAAAUUAAUAAAUAAAUUAAUUAUUUUUCGGAAAUUAAGAUUUUGAUGGCCGACGACCGAAAUCUCGUGCUGAUCGUCGUGGUGCAGUCCGUUUAUUUAUUUGAGCUCCACGUUGUAUGGAAUUGAGUAAAUUGUGAUAUUUUAGGGAUUUACCCUAAAUUGAUUGGAAUUGAUUGAGAUUGAAUUAUUGAUUGGUAAAUUGCCAAUUAUGUUUAUUCAGCAUUUAUAAUGCUUUGUUGAGUUGUAAAGUGAGUAGAAUUGUGAGAGUGAUUUGAAUAUGCUCUUGGCUAAGAUCCCUCAGGUAUGUUAAUAUCGUGUGAAAAUCGAGUGAGUUGAUGAGUGUGUGGGGAUUCAUCCCAAGAUUGAUCAAUGUCGGUAUUCAAUUAGAAUUUGACUAUGAGAGGUUGUGAGUUGAACCUCGGAAGCCGCCGAAGUAUGGCUAUGCCAGUUGGGCUGAGAUUUGCCACCGAAUUUGGAGUCGGUCGCGGAUAAGGCCGUAAUCUGCCACCUAUUAAAGGUCGCGCCCGUUGGGCCGUAAAUUGCCACCUAUUAAAGGUCGCGCCUGUUAAGGCCAUAAUUUGCCACCCGAUACGGGUCGCGCCUGAUAAGGUCGUAAUCAGCCACCUAUUAAAGGUCGCGCCCAUUGGGCCGUAAUUUGCUACCUAAAGAUAGGUCGUGUCCUUCGGGACUGUAAUUUGUUGUCAAGAAAUUUGGUAGUCUAUACUUGUGAAGUCGUGAGUACGAUUUGAACCUGAAUAAGGGAAACGACUGGGGAAUGGUCGAAUUGACAUGAAAUCGACUAGGUCGAUGGAUCGAGAUAUUGAUCUGUGAUGUAAUUGCUUGGGUGCCUAUUGAACUGUGCUAAGAUGCAGGUGGAGUCUGAGGCCAAGGUAAGUCCUCUGCCCUGUGCGUGUUUAGGCAGCCUAUAGUAUAAUAGUUUACUAAUCGGGCUUAGUGGGGUAGAACUCGCUGAGACGUAGUCUCAUCCCAGUUUGGGGAAACCAUUUUAGGACCCCGCUGAAGAGCUGAGGAGGAGGAAUCCGAGAAGGAGAACUCGGAGGUGAGAUCUGAAGAAAAGGAUUUUUGGAAGAAGAAGACAAUUAUGAGAGGGGCCUUGAGUACGGCCUAGUUCAUCUAAGUUUCUGUCUUCUUUUGUGAUCUCCGUUUUGAUGUGUGUAGUAAUGAAAGGGUUUGUGGUUUGUAUAAAAGUGUGGUUAUAAAUUUCAAUAUGAAAAAUAUGGCCCUGCUUUUCUAUCCCAUCGUUUUAUUGUCUGGGGAUUUUAAUUGCUUCCGCAUGUGCUUAAAAAUGAAAGGGUCGGCGAUACGUUGUCCUGGGAUAUCGCAUUAUAAAAUCGACCAAGGUAGAAGGAUGUGUGCGUGCCCGAGGAUCGGGGCGUGACAC